Molecule: non-coding RNA, 28 nt
Filed under: Rattus norvegicus (Norway rat)
Lineage: Eukaryota; Metazoa; Chordata; Mammalia; Rodentia; Muridae
Source: RNAcentral
UCUCUUGAAUGUUCUGUCCUGCCUUGAC